UGCAAGUCGAACGAUGAAGUUCCUUCGGGAAUGGAUUAGUGGCGAACGGGUGAGGAACACGUGAGAAACCUGCCUUUCAUUUUGGGAUAACUCCGGGAAACCGGGGCUAAAACCGAAUACUCCGUCUCGGCGGCAUCGCUGAGCCGGGAAAAAAUUUUGAUGAAAGAUGGUCUCGCGGCCUAUCAGCUAGUUGGUGAGGUAAUGGCUCACCAAGGCAACGACGGGUAGCCGGCCUGAGAGGGCGACCGGCCACACUGGGACUGAGACACGGCCCAGACUCCUACGGGAGGCAGCAGUGGGGAAUAUUGGGCAAUGGGCGCAAGCCUGACCCAGCGACGCCGCGUGAGGGAUGAAGGCCUUCGGGUUGUAAACCUCUUUCAGUAGGGAAGAAGCGAAAGUGACGGUACCUAAAGAAGAAGCACCGGCUAACUAUGUGCCAGCAGCCGCGGUAAUACAUAGGGUGUAAGCGUUGUCCGGAAUUAUUGGGCGUAAAGAGCUCGUAGGUCGUUUGCCGCGUCGAUUGUGAAAAUCUGAGGCUCAACCUCAGACCUGCAGUCGAUACGGGCAAACUAGAGUGUGGUAGGGGAGACUGGAAUUCCUGGUGUAGCGGUGGAAUGCGCAGAUAUCAGGAGGAACACCAAUGGCGAAGGCAGGUCUCUGGGCCAUAACUGACACUGAGGAGCGAAAGCGCGGGGAGCGA
This 700-nucleotide ribosomal RNA is filed under the name uncultured bacterium. RNAcentral's name for it is "bacterial SSU rRNA". It matches the Rfam family "Bacterial small subunit ribosomal RNA", at positions 56 to 771 of the family's 1533-position model. The record is from RNAcentral.